RNAcentral lists this ribosomal RNA (430 nucleotides) under Bacteroidota bacterium. RNAcentral's name for it is "Bacteroidetes bacterium partial 16S ribosomal RNA". It matches the Rfam family "Bacterial small subunit ribosomal RNA", at positions 355 to 776 of the family's 1533-position model. The record is from RNAcentral. Lineage: Bacteria; Pseudomonadati; Bacteroidota.
UAGGGAAUCUUCGGCAAUGGGGGGAACCCUGACCGAGCAACGCCGCGUGAGUGAAGAAGGUUUUCGGAUCGUAAAGCUCUGUUGUUAAGGAAGAACGAGUGUGAGAAUGGAAAGUUCAUGCUGUGACGGUACUUAACCAGAAAGGGACGGCUAACUACGUGCCAGCAGCCGCGGUAAUACGUAGGUCCCGAGCGUUGUCCGGAUUUAUUGGGCGUAAAGCGAGCGCAGGCGGUUAGAAAAGUCUGAAGUGAAAGGCAGUGGCUCAACCGGGGAGGGUCAUUGGAAACUGGUUGACUUGAGUGCAGAAGAGGAGAGUGGAAUUCCAUGUGUAGCGGUGAAAUGCGUAGAUAUAUGGGGGAACACCAGUGGCGAAGGCGACUCUCUGGUCUGUAACUGACGCUGAGGCUCGAAAGCGUGGGUAGCAAACAGG